This 23-nucleotide non-coding RNA is filed under the name Arabidopsis thaliana (thale cress). Lineage: Eukaryota; Viridiplantae; Streptophyta; Magnoliopsida; Brassicales; Brassicaceae. The record is from RNAcentral.
AUAUCGUGCCUCGAAGCUACUGC